GGACAGGGUCCAGACCUGAACUGUCCCAGGACUCCACUGCUGAGUCCACUGAAGGGAUGGCUGGCCCAAAGCGACCCAGCCAGUCAUUACGGCCCAAGUCAUCACUGGUGACUCCUGCUAAACACAAAGAGAGCAGCAAAUCUUAAGGGUGACAGUGUCUCCUGAAUUCUGCAACAUGAGGAUGGCCUCACUGAGUGGCUUCCCUCGCAGUGACACACCGUUGAUGGCAAGCAGUCGGUCUCCAACAUGAAUGGCUCCAGUGCGAUCAGCCAGUCCACCUGGUCAACACGUUUUGUUACUGUGGCAAACUAACUAUGUACUACUCACUCAUGAUGUUUGGAAGUGUCAUUAUCUAGUGUUAGUUAAAACUGGUAUUGAGCUAAAGGCAACCCUGACAAAGCUAAUCAUACCUAUAACAAAAAAUAAUGAAUAUAUAUUAAAAAAUCAGUGCUGGAGGUCAUAUUCUAGUCAGAUAUAUCACAUGCCAACAAUUGCUGCAAAAUAAAGGAGAAAAGUGAUCA
This is a long non-coding RNA of Portunus trituberculatus (swimming crab), 521 nucleotides long. RefSeq lists it as uncharacterized. The record is from RefSeq and is a predicted model, not a curated record. The transcript has 2 exons. Lineage: Eukaryota; Metazoa; Arthropoda; Malacostraca; Decapoda; Portunidae.